UACAGAGGGGGCAAGCGUUAUUCGGAAUUAUUGGGCGUAAAGGGCGCGUAGGCGGCCUGGCAAGUGGAAGGUGAAAUCCCUCGGCUUAACCGAGGAACUGCCUCCCAAACUGCUUGGCUUGAGACCAGGAGAGGUGAGUGGAAUUCCCAGUGUAGCGGUGAAAUGCGUAGAUAUUGGGGGGAACACCAGUGGCGAAGGCGGCUCACUGGACUGGUACUGACGCUGAGGCGCGAAAGCGUGGGGAGCAAACGGG
RNAcentral lists this ribosomal RNA (253 nucleotides) under uncultured bacterium. Its description in RNAcentral is "partial 16S ribosomal RNA". It matches the Rfam family "Bacterial small subunit ribosomal RNA", at positions 524 to 776 of the family's 1533-position model. The record is from RNAcentral.